This 303-nucleotide long non-coding RNA is filed under the name Fukomys damarensis (Damara mole-rat). Its description in RNAcentral is "lncRNA (ENSFDAG00000028869.1)". Lineage: Eukaryota; Metazoa; Chordata; Mammalia; Rodentia; Bathyergidae. The record is from RNAcentral.
GAGGGCGAAGAUGUGGAGGACAGAAAAUCCCUAGCCAGUGAUACGGCCUCUGGUUCGUAGCUGUGUCCUGAGGUUGGAACUGAACAGACGUUUUCUGUAACUCAGGGUGUUCAGCAGUAACUUAGGGUCUACGAUGGGCCCGAGUCCAAGGUGGCGUUGCUCCUGUUUGACGGAAAAGACAGAGCUUACCGUUUCCCACAGCUGGACUCGACGUUCGCAGGCCCGAGCUGGAAUGCGGGGGCAACUGGAGUCAGACCGCGAGGACGUUAAACAGCAAGGAGAAAACGUGGUGGCAGUUCCAGG